UGGGGAAUUUUGGACAAUGGGCGAAAGCCUGAUCCAGCAAUGCCGCGUGUGUGAAGAAGGCCUUCGGGUUGUAAAGCACUUUUGUCCGGAAAGAAAUCCUUGGCUCUAAUACAGUCGGGGGAUGACGGUACCGGAAGAAUAAGCACCGGCUAACUACGUGCCAGCAGCCGCGGUAAUACGUAGGGUGCAAGCGUUAAUCGGAAUUACUGGGCGUAAAGCGUGCGCAGGCGGUUUGCUAAGACCGAUGUGAAAUCCCCGGGCUCAACCUGGGGAACUGCAUUGGUGACUGGCAGGCUAGAGUAUGGCAGAGGGGGGUAGAAUUCCACGUGUAGCAGUGAAAUGCGUAGAGAUGUGGAGGAAUACCGAUGGCGAAGGCAGCCCCCUGGGCCAAAUACUGACGCUCAUGCACGAAAGCGUGGGGAGCAAAACAGGAUUAGAUACCCUGGUAGUCCACGCCCUAAACGAUGUCAACUAGUUGUUGGGGAUUCAUUUCCUUAGUAACGUAGCUAACGCGUGAAGUUGACCGCCUGGGGAGUACGGUCGCAAGAUUAAAACUCAAAGGAAUUGACGGGGUCAUAGCUGUUUCC
Molecule: ribosomal RNA, 587 nt
Filed under: uncultured bacterium
Lineage: Bacteria
Description: partial 16S ribosomal RNA
Rfam family: Bacterial small subunit ribosomal RNA
Source: RNAcentral